Long non-coding RNA from Sinocyclocheilus anshuiensis, 543 nucleotides. RefSeq lists it as uncharacterized. The transcript is spliced from 3 exons. The record is from RefSeq and is a predicted model, not a curated record. Lineage: Eukaryota; Metazoa; Chordata; Actinopteri; Cypriniformes; Cyprinidae.
GAACUCUCUAGCGUGACACUAAUAAGUCCAUAGCAUCAUAUAUGUGGCUUAGCAGGGCGCAGGGGGCAUAGCCUAACAAAUGUGUGGAGUCAAUUGGUUUCCCAAGGGGACGCUACUGAGAAGCUGGCUCACCAAGUCCCGACCCAGACUGCUGCUGCUCAUCGCCGGCUUGAAGAGGCCUCAGGUCACCCUCAUGCGCAGGAAAAGGAUGAAAUGCACGAAAGCAGCAAAGGCCACGUAAGCGCACUUGCAGUCGUAUGCCGCAUUUCACUUGAGUCGCUGAUACAGAGAGAAGCUCCAUCUGCUGUCGACAUGAACGCAGACCCAGAAACAGAGAAAGCAUCUCAGUCGUCUCUGCCAAACAUACGAACUAAACGCCAAAGCAGAAGCGGCGCAGAGUUUGUUGUGAAAAUGAGGGAUCUUCCACAAAGAUCCAGACCCCCCGACUAAGAUCCGGAGCCUCCCAGUGACAUUUGUUCAUCUUUCUCUCAAAUACACUUCUGUCAUGCUUCUGUUCACUACACAGUGUGUGACAGCACAUUA